UUAUAUGGUCAAGAAGAGAAGCGCAAACGGUGGAUGCCUUGGCAGUAAGAGGCGAAGAAGGACGUGGAAUCCUGCGAAAAGCUAUGGGGAGCUGGAAACGAGCGUUGAGCCAUAGAUGUCCGAAUGGGGGAACCCGGCUGCAGCGAUGCGGUCAUUUGCAUUUGAAUACAUAGGAUGCAAAGGCGAACUCGGGGAACUGAAACAUCUAAGUACCCGAAGGAAAAGAAAUCAAGAGAGAUUCUCCAAGUAGCGGCGAGCGAACGGGGAGGAGCCUGGCGUGAUUUAUUAUUGAACUGAGUAGAACAAUUUGGGAAAGUUGGCGAUAGAGGGUGAAAGCCCCGUAUACGAAGGUUUGAUGAGGAACUAGGCACGCGAACAAGUAGGCCGGGACACGUGAAAUCCUGGUUGAAGAUGGGUGGACCAUCAUCCAAGGCUAAAUACUACUUACUGACCGAUAGUGAACCAGUACCGUGAGGGAAAGGUGAAAAGAACCCCGGAGAGGGGAGUGAAAUAGAAUCUGAAACCGUUUGCGUACAAGCAGUGGGAGCAUGGUUUAGGCUGUGUGACUGCGUACCUUUUGUAUAAUGGGUCAGCGAGUUACUUUCAGUGGCGAGGUUAACUGAAUAAGGGAGCCGUAGAGAAAUCGAGUCUGAAUAGGGCGAUAGUCGCUGGGAGUAGACCCGAAACCGGGCGAUCUAGCCAUGUGCAGGAUGAAGGUUGGGUAACACCAACUGGAGGUCCGAACCGGGUAAUGUUGAAAAAUUAUCGGAUGACGUGUGGCUAGGAGUGAAAGGCUAAUCAAGCCCGGAGAUAGCUGGUUCUCCCCGAAAGCUAUUUAGGUAGCGCCUCGUGAAUGAUUACUGGGGGUAGAGCACUGUUUCGGCUAGGGGGCUGUCAUGGCUUACCAAACCGAUGCAAACUCCGAAUACCGGCUAAUUGAAUCACGGGAGACACACGGCGGGUGCUAACGUCCGUCGUGGAGAGGGAAACAACCCAGACCGCCAGCUAAGGUCCCCAAGUACUAGUUAAGUGGGAAACGAUGUGGGAAGGCAUAGACAGCCAGGAGGUUGGCUUAGAAGCAGCCACCCUUUAAAGAAAGCGUAAUAGCUCACUGGUCGAGUCGGCCUGCGCGGAAGAUGUAACGGGGCUAAAACUAGUCACCGAAGCUGCGGAUGUGCGCGAAGGCGCACGUGGUAGGGGAGCGUUCUGUAAGCUGAUGAAGGUGCAUUGAGAAGUGUGCUGGAGGUAUCAGAAGUGCGAAUGCUGACAUGAGUAACGAUAAUGUGGGUGAAAAGCCCACACGCCGGAAGUCCCAGGUUUCCUGCACGACGUUAAUCGGAGCAGGGUGAGUCGGCCCCUAAGGCGAGGCUGAAGAGCGUAGUCGAUGGGAACCAGGUUAAUAUUCCUGGACUUUUUAUAAGUGGUGAAGUGGGGACGAAGAAGGCUAGGUGAGCCAGGCGUUGGUUGUCCUGGUACUUGCAUGUAGGGGGGAAGACUUGGCAAAUCCGGUUUUCCAUAACUCUGAGGUGCGAAGUGGUUCUGACCUUUUGGUACAGAGAAGUCAUUGAUGCCCGGCUUCCAGGAAAAGCUGCUAGCCAUAACUUAUAGAGAACCGUACCGCAAACCGACACAGGUGGACAGGUAGAGAAUACUAAGGCGCUUGAGAGAACUCGGGUGAAGGAACUAGGCAAAAUGGUACCGUAACU
This 1706-nucleotide ribosomal RNA is filed under the name Legionella pneumophila subsp. pneumophila. Its description in RNAcentral is "partial 23S ribosomal RNA". It matches the Rfam family "Bacterial large subunit ribosomal RNA", at positions 1 to 1735 of the family's 2925-position model. Lineage: Bacteria; Pseudomonadati; Pseudomonadota; Gammaproteobacteria; Legionellales; Legionellaceae. The record is from RNAcentral.